Neomonachus schauinslandi (Hawaiian monk seal) is the source of this 103-nucleotide small nuclear RNA. The record is from RefSeq and is a predicted model, not a curated record. NCBI's taxonomy places the organism in Eukaryota, Metazoa, Chordata, Mammalia, Carnivora, Phocidae.
UUGCUUCAGCAGCACAUACACUAAAAUUGGAACAAUGCAGAGAAGACUAGCACAGUCCCUGCACAAGGAUGACACUUCAGACCAAGAUGCAAAUAUACGUUAA